GAUGAACGCUGGCGGCGUGCCUAAUACAUGCAAGUCGAGCGAACAGAUAAGGAGCUUGCUCCUUUGACGUUAGCGGCGGACGGGUGAGUAACACGUGGGUAACCUACCUAUAAGACUGGGAUAACUUCGGGAAACCGGAGCUAAUACCGGAUAACAUUUGGAACCGCAUGGUUCUAAAGUGAAAGAUGGUUUUGCUAUCACUUAUAGAUGGACCCGCGCCGUAUUAGCUAGUUGGUAAGGUAACGGCUUACCAAGGCAACGAUACGUAGCCGACCUGAGAGGGUGAUCGGCCACACUGGAACUGGGACACGGUCCAGACUCCUACGGGAGGCAGCAGUAGGGAAUCUUCCGCAAUGGGCGAAAGCCUGACGGAGCAACGCCGCGUGAGUGAUGAAGGGUUUCGGCUCGUAAAACUCUGUUAUUAGGGAAGAACAAACGUGUAAGUAACUGUGCACGUCUUGACGGUACCUAAUCAGAAAGCCACGGCUAACUACGUG
This 497-nucleotide ribosomal RNA is filed under the name uncultured bacterium. Its description in RNAcentral is "partial 16S ribosomal RNA". It matches the Rfam family "Bacterial small subunit ribosomal RNA", at positions 28 to 507 of the family's 1533-position model. The record is from RNAcentral.